Molecule: long non-coding RNA, 1000 nt
Organism: Talpa occidentalis (Iberian mole)
Lineage: Eukaryota; Metazoa; Chordata; Mammalia; Eulipotyphla; Talpidae
Exons: 4
Source: RefSeq, a predicted model, not a curated record
CAUGUGUCACGAAUAGAGAAUUUCAUAAUUUCAGGUGUAGGAUGACUUGCUACAUCCUUGGCUGAUAAUUUCUGUGAUAGUCUUGGCUCUUCAGCUCCUCUAGUAAGAGCAAGAAAGAUCUGCUGAAGAGAAUUUUUCUGAUUAAUAUUUUUGAAACAUACUUAAUUCUUUUCCUAUUCUCAACUCAUAGACAUAGCGCCCAUCUAAAGUCACUCUCACUGUGGCAGUUCUGAAUGUCGAUUGAAGAAUAUCUCCUGGUUUUCAGUCUUGCAGAAAAUAAAAUGAUGAUGUGCAUUCAGCAAUAAAAUAUCAGUUUACCCAGGCUGUGAGUUGCCUGACAUCUGGUUGAAACAUGGAAGAUGAUGACCAUCUCUGCUAAUUGCCUCAUUAAAUACAUGUCGGCGCAAAUGAUCCUAUCAGAAGACGCAGAAAAGAAAUCCACCCUUGAGUUAACCUGAUGACCAAUAACCUCUGUAAUCUCAGCAGACAAAGGCCAGUAGCAGAAACACCAGCCCAGAGACAGCUUGAUUAAAACAAGAGGAAUCGCACAAGGGGUGUGUCUGCCUCUCAGGGAGGAAGCCGUGAUUAGAAUCUGCUGCAGUCUGAAAAUCCAGUAUCUCAGUUAGGAUCUGACUUGGAGUUUGAAGAAGCAAAAUAAACCAUGUUCAGGAGAGCAGAAUCUUCACCUGCCAACACCUGCUUUCCAGGAAAAAGAAAAAUGGGGAAGAGGAUCACAUACAAGUGGCAGAAAUACAGCAAGAGGAAAGAAAAGGACAGAAAGGAUGGACUUGUUUCUCUGACCAGGAGGUAGGGGGUGGAAAUGAAGCCAAUGGAAGAACAUCGAUGUGCUAUUGCGCUGACCUCCAUGUCCAAGCCAAGACUUUGAGUCUCCCUUAUGCCCAUGGUUACCAGGAGAAGUGGCACAGUGAUCUGUAAGUCAUCUAAUUGUGGCUUCUCCUUCUUAAUUGUAUUUUUCAUCUGCUAUUAAAAUGAAUUUGCA